This 253-nucleotide ribosomal RNA is filed under the name uncultured bacterium. RNAcentral describes it as "partial 16S ribosomal RNA". It matches the Rfam family "Bacterial small subunit ribosomal RNA", at positions 524 to 776 of the family's 1533-position model. The record is from RNAcentral.
UACAGAGGGUGCGAGCGUUAAUCGGAAUUACUGGGCGUAAAGCGUGCGUAGACGGUUAUUUAAGUCGGAUGUGAAAGCCCCGGGCUCAACCUGGGAAUUGCAUUCGAGACUGAAUAGCUAGGGUACGGUAGAGGGAAGUGGAAUUUCCGGUGUAGCGGUGAAAUUCGUAGAUAUUCGCAAGAACACCAGUGGCGAAGGCGGCUCACUGGCCCGAUACUGACGCUGAGGCACGAAAGCGUGGGGAGCAAACAGG